RNAcentral lists this ribosomal RNA (400 nucleotides) under uncultured bacterium. RNAcentral's name for it is "bacterial SSU rRNA". It matches the Rfam family "Bacterial small subunit ribosomal RNA", at positions 355 to 772 of the family's 1533-position model. The record is from RNAcentral.
UGGGGAAUAUUGGACAAUGGGCGAAAGCCUGAUCCAGCCAUGCCGCGUGAGUGAUGAAGGCCUUAGGGUUGUAAAGCUCUUUUACCCGGGAUGAUAAUGACAGUACCGGGAGAAUAAGCCCCGGCUAACUCCGUGCCAGCAGCCGCGGUAAUACAGAGGGGGCAAGCGUUGUUCGGAAUUACUGGGCGUAAAGGGCGCGUAGGCGGCCGCCUAAGUCAGACGUGAAAUCCCUCGGCUCAACCGGGGAACUGCGUCCGAUACUGGGUGGCUUGAAUCCGGGAGAGGGAUGCGGAAUUCCAGGUGUAGCGGUGAAAUGCGUAGAUAUCUGGAGGAACACCGGUGGCGAAGGCGGUAUCCUGGACCGGCAUUGACGCUGAGGCGCGAAAGCUAGGGGAGCAAA